GUGCUCCCUUCGUCAGCACAUAUAUUAAAAUUGGAAUGCUACAGAGAAGAUUAGCAGGCCUCCUGAACAAGGAUGACAUGUGUAUUUGUAAAGCAUCCCAUUUUAUU
Small nuclear RNA from Gracilinanus agilis (Agile Gracile Mouse Opossum), 107 nucleotides. The record is from RefSeq and is a predicted model, not a curated record. NCBI's taxonomy places the organism in Eukaryota, Metazoa, Chordata, Mammalia, Didelphimorphia, Didelphidae.